Molecule: long non-coding RNA, 1475 nt
Organism: Cyprinus carpio (common carp)
Lineage: Eukaryota; Metazoa; Chordata; Actinopteri; Cypriniformes; Cyprinidae
Source: Ensembl
CCUGAGAGUUGGAAAGAAGCAAUACUUAUCCCAAAAAGGAAGACAGGGAAAGAUGCUAGUAAGCCAUCAAACUAUAGAGCAGGGAUGGCGAACAUCAGUCCUGGAGAGCCGCAGGCCCGCAGCCCUGCAGAGUUUUGCUUCAACCACCAAACACACCUGAACAAGCUCAACAAGGUCUGGUGCUUCCUGAGAAGAUUGAUCUGCUGGCUGAACUUCAUCACUGCAUCACGGAGGAUGAUGUUGAGCCAACAGCACUGCCAACCAGCAUCAAGCACUAUUCUGCACAACUAGUUAAACGUCUAAACACACAUACAUACUCUCAUAUUAUAUGCCUUCCACAGUUGCCUCUUGAUUGAAGACUUCUGUCACAGUUUCCCUAAUUUAGGAAACACAUGCUUCAUGAACUCUGUUGCAGUGUCUCACCGGCUCCUCUUUCCGGGACGAUGUGUUUCUCAGCGGAAAUCUUGGAAUGAGGGAAGCACAAUGCUCAGGUACCAACACCACUGAACAUAUUAGAUGAAGUUAUGGACAUUAUAUUUAAAUCAACCAGCAAAACUAAAGCAAUUCUCUCAAUAAAUUAAACGUACACAUUUAUCUCAGGGCGCUCACUGACCUGCAUAUGACUAGGCUGACAGGCAAUGACAAGAAGCUGAAGAUAAAGCUGUUGUCUACAGUGAAGGCCUGCACUGAAACUCACCAUCCUGAUUUCUUAGGAGACCAUCAGCAGGAGGAGGGCGAGCUUCUACAGAAGACACUUGUCCUGCAGCAAACAUGGAGUUCCAGCUCAACCGCCGGCACACCUGUGACAGGUAACUUCACACGUCCACACCUGCACUCGUUUCAGACUCAUUUAUGUGAUGCUGAUGGUCUUCUGUGGCUUCCAAAGGAGGUUCAGAGAGGAUUACGACUACCUCUCACUGGUCCUCAGUCCUCAAGGACGCCUCAUAGACAGCCUGCAGCAGUACUUUAAAGGGAGUGACAUCACUGAUGACAUCAUAUCAGCAGCAGGACGUACAGGUCAACAAGUUUAAGUAGUUUCUGACUGGCUGCUGUCUGUGUUGUUUGUUUUCUCCAGACUUCUUCGUUUGACUGCUCAUGCCUCUGAGGCGCUGGCACAGUACAACACCCUGUUAAUCAGUUAAUACCCUGCAGGAUAACUGAACACAAACUCCUGAUCAUCUCAAAGUCUCUGCAGGGUCCCGCUGCUUCUGGUUAUGCUCUCUGACGGGGAAUCCUGUAGCUGGAGGAUCGACUGGAAGAUCCAGAAGAGUUUUCCCUGUCCAGCAGUGCAGGUAACACUCAGGUCAUCAAACAUCUGCCCUCUGCUGGUCAGUUAUGAAACACUCACCUGAACCAGUUUAAAAGAGGAUGGUUUCUCUGAAAACAUCUGAAUCAUGUUUAAGCAUGCAUUGAGUAUUUACUGAAUUGUUUUCUUCUUUGAUGUAUGACCUCAACAGAGAGCAGAAAGAUCACAG